Molecule: ribosomal RNA, 467 nt
Filed under: uncultured bacterium
Lineage: Bacteria
Description: partial 16S ribosomal RNA
Rfam family: Bacterial small subunit ribosomal RNA
Source: RNAcentral
ACGAACGCUGGCGGCGUGCUUAACACAUGCCAGUCGCACGGAAAGGCCCUGCUUUUGUGGGGUGCUCGAGUGGCGAACGGGUGAGUAACACGUGAGUAACCUGCCCUUGACUUUGGGAUAACUUCAGGAAACUGGGGCUAACACCGGAUAGGAGCUCCUGCUGCAUGGUGGGGGUUGGAAAGUUUCGGCGGUUGGGGAUGGACUCGCGGCUUAUCAGCUUGUUGGUGGGGUAGUGGCUUACCAAGGCUUUGACGGGUAGCCGGCCUGAGAGGGUGACCGGCCACAUUGGGACUGAGAUACGGCCCAGACUCCUACGGGAGGCAGCAGUGGGGAAUAUUGCACAAUGGGCGGAAGCCUGAUGCAGCAACGCCGCGUGCGGGAUGACGGCCUUCGGGUUGUAAACCGCUUUCGCCUGUGACGAAGCGUGAGUGACGGUAAUGGGUAAAGAAGCACCGGCUAACUACGUG